UACGGGGGGGGCAAGCGUUGUUCGGAAUUACUGGGCGUAAAGAGCUCGUAGGCGGUUUGUCGCGUCUGCCGUGAAAGUCCGGGGCUCAACUCCGGAUCUGCGGUGGGUACGGGCAGACUAGAGUGAUGUAGGGGAGACUGGAAUUCCUGGUGUAGCGGUGAAAUGCGCAGAUAUCAGGAGGAACACCGAUGGCGAAGGCAGGUCUCUGGGCAUUAACUGACGCUGGGGAGCGAAAGCAUGGGGAGCGAACAGG
RNAcentral lists this ribosomal RNA (253 nucleotides) under uncultured bacterium. Its description in RNAcentral is "partial 16S ribosomal RNA". It matches the Rfam family "Bacterial small subunit ribosomal RNA", at positions 524 to 776 of the family's 1533-position model. The record is from RNAcentral.